This 381-nucleotide ribosomal RNA is filed under the name uncultured eukaryote. RNAcentral describes it as "partial 18S ribosomal RNA". It matches the Rfam family "Eukaryotic small subunit ribosomal RNA", at positions 592 to 975 of the family's 1831-position model. The record is from RNAcentral.
CAAUAGCGUAUAUUAAAGUUGUUGCAGUUAAAAAGCUCGUCGUUGGAUUUCUGGUUGAAGCGACCGGUCGGGCGUUGAUUCGUCUGCACUGGAGUCGGUUUUGGCCAUCCUCUAGGAAAGUGCGUCUGGUAUUAAGUUAUCGGGCGUAUGAUCCUGGUCUUUUACUGUGAAAAAAUUAGAGUGUUUAAAGCAGGCCUUCGCCUUGAAUACAUUAGCAUGGAAUAAUAAGAUAGGACUUUGGUCUAUUUUGUUGGUUUGCAGACCGAAGUAAUGAUUAAUAGGGAUAGUUGGGGGUAUUUAUAUUCCGAUGUCAGAGGUGAAAUUCUUAGAUUUUCGGAAGAUAAACUUAUGCGAAAGCAUUUACCAAGGAUGUUUNCAUUA